GCCCACAACACCCCCCUCCCCUCCCCAGCCAUCUGGGCUCAGCCUGCCUCCUUCCUUUCCUGGGCCAGACUCUGGAAUCCCUCUUCUGCUCAUUCAGCCACCUCUAGGACAGCACAAGAUCCUACAACCAGACACCCCCGGCAAGGCUGGUCAAGGCAGGGACAAGAUGAGAAAAGAGGUCCAGAGGAGGUGGUUUGUCCAAGAUCGUGGGAGUCCUGGAGACAACAUUUGAACCCAGGUUCUGUGACUCCAAAGCCAAUGCUUUCUUGACCCUGGGCUAACUUCGGGUAGUUUGCCUUUUCUUCCUGGCAGAACUAUGUUGUCAUCUCUGCUCCCUCCCAAUCCUUCACUAAUGCUCCCCUACCUUAUCAGUUACUUAUACCUAGGAACCUUUGAGACAGCUGAGGAAAACUGGAACCUGAUUUCUAACACCAGAGAAAGGAUGGCUUCAGAGUUAUUGCUAGAAGCUAAGAAUCUAUGAUGAGGAGCAAAAAAGCAGAGGCUUCGGAAAGAGAGCAACAAGGAGGUCACUGGAAGCAAAACACUAAAUCAGAGAAAGGAUAAGAACGCAUCUGUGAGGCCAACAAAUACCCCACAAACCAUGCCAAGACACAUUUUGAAAGAAUGAGCAUCCUCCUUCUGAAGGGGCCCAGGAGAAGCCAGUUCACUGCUAUAGUGUAAAGUUACCAGUAACAUUAACAUUUCUCACCUAUAAGCCAGGUCUCUCCUUCAAAAUGGAGAGGUAGCACUCUGCUUGACCCAAGGAUGUUUCUCAUCAA
Molecule: non-coding RNA, 779 nt
Organism: Phascolarctos cinereus (koala)
Lineage: Eukaryota; Metazoa; Chordata; Mammalia; Diprotodontia; Phascolarctidae
Source: RefSeq, a predicted model, not a curated record